AUGAAGAAGACUGAAAUAUUCUUGGUGCUGGUUUUUGAGGCAUUGGUUUCUUUAUUUUUUAUUUAUUUAUUAUUGCUUGUUUCUAGCAAGAAGAUCCCUGGGACCAAGAUUUCAGAAGACUGCUUUCCAAACUGUGGCGGCUGCAAAAUAGGAGGCUCAGAAAAGCAGGAGCUGAUACAGAAAGCUGGUGCGUGUUACUGGCCGGCAGCUGUGGUUCACAUCAGGAGCGGAUCCAUUUCUGGGGUUAGAAACAAAACUUAUCUGUCUCCUGCUCUCUUGAGGUGGUACACGAGCAAAUUGAUGAAGAAACCAUUGACAAAGUCCUGAUGGUAGAGGGGGUGAUGAUGAAUUGGGAGCCAUUACAGCAGGUAUUGUGUGCAUUCUACCAGCUGACGCUCAACUUCCCUUCUAAUGCCAGUUGCCUUCUAUCAUCUGGUACACGGAUUGGAUGCAGGCUUCUCCCAAUUAAAGCCAGUGAGGUCAUAUACUUCCUAAUUACAGGCUAGUCCAUUGUGUCUAAAUGUGACAGACAUGUGCUUGGAAAAUUGCUUUUAAUGCCUAAAUAAACAAGAUGAACUAAAUGGCA
Molecule: long non-coding RNA, 586 nt
Filed under: Anas platyrhynchos platyrhynchos (common mallard)
Lineage: Eukaryota; Metazoa; Chordata; Aves; Anseriformes; Anatidae
Description: lncRNA (ENSAPLG00000027266.1)
Source: RNAcentral